This 498-nucleotide ribosomal RNA is filed under the name uncultured bacterium. Its description in RNAcentral is "partial 16S ribosomal RNA". It matches the Rfam family "Bacterial small subunit ribosomal RNA", at positions 28 to 507 of the family's 1533-position model. The record is from RNAcentral.
GACGAACGCUGGCGGCGUGCCUAAUACAUGCAAGUCGAACGAGAGCGACCGGUGCUUGCACUGGUCAAUCUAGUGGCGAACGGGUGAGUAACACGUGGGUAACCUGCCCAUCAGAGGGGGAUAACAUUCGGAAACGGAUGCUAAAACCGCAUAGGUCUUCGAACCGCAUGGUUUGUAGAGGAAAAGAGGCGCAAGCUUUCGCUGAUGGAUGGACCCGCGGUGCAUUAGCUAGUUGGUGAGGUAACGGCUCACCAAGGCCGUGAUGCAUAGCCGACCUGAGAGGGUGAUCAGCCACAUUGGAACUGAGACACGGCCCAAACUCCUACGGGAGGCAGCAGUAGGGAAUCUUCCGCAAUGGACGCAAGUCUGACCGAGCAACGCCGCGUGAGUGAAGAAGGUGUUCGGAUUGUAAAGCUCUGUUGUUAGAGAAGAACGAGUGCUAGAGUAACUGUUAGCGCCUUGACGGUAUCAAACCAGAAAGCCACGGCUAACUACGUG